RNAcentral lists this ribosomal RNA (495 nucleotides) under uncultured bacterium. Its description in RNAcentral is "partial 16S ribosomal RNA". It matches the Rfam family "Bacterial small subunit ribosomal RNA", at positions 28 to 507 of the family's 1533-position model. The record is from RNAcentral.
GACGAACGCUGGCGGCGUGCCUAAUACAUGCAAGUAGAACGCUGAAGGAGGAGCUUGCUUCUCCGGAUGAGUUGCGAACGGGUGAGUAACGCGUAGGUAACCUGCCUUGUAGCGGGGGAUAACUAUUGGAAACGAUAGCUAAUACCGCAUAACAGUAGAUCUUGCAUGAUAUCUGCUUGAAAGGUGCAAUUGCAUCACUACCAGAUGGACCUGCGUUGUAUUAGCUAGUUGGUGAGGUAACGGCACACCAAGGCGACGAUACAUAUCCGACCUGAGAGGGUGAUCGGCCAAACUGGGACUGAGACACGGCCCAGACUCCUACGGGGGGCAGCAGUAGGGAAACAUCGGCAAUGGACGGAAGUCUGACCGAGCAAAGCCGCGUGAGGGAAGAAGGGUUUCGGGUCGUAAAGCUCUGUUGUAAGAGAAGAACGAGUGUGAGAGUGGAAAGUUCACACUGUGACGGUAUCUUACCAGAAAGGGACGGCUAACUACGUG